Molecule: long non-coding RNA, 1133 nt
Organism: Gallus gallus (chicken)
Lineage: Eukaryota; Metazoa; Chordata; Aves; Galliformes; Phasianidae
Source: Ensembl
AUUGGAAGGGAUUAUAAAGACCAUCUAGUUUCAAUCUCCCUGUCAUGGCUGGGGAAAUAUCCCACUUGAUCAGGCUGCCCAAAGCCCCAUCCAAUGAGGCCUUGAACACCUCCAGAGAAAGGGCAUCAGUAAGUUCGGGCAACCUGUGCCAGUGUCUCACCAGCUACUGAGUAAAAAAAUUCUUCCUAAUAUCUAAUCUAAAUCUACCCUCAUACCCCUCAUACUUUUUGAGAUUUUUCUUUGAAACUAAUCUGAAUCUACCUUCUUUUAGUUUAAAGCCAUUACUCCUUGUUCUGUCACUCCAUGCUCUUGCAGAAAGGCCUUGUUCAGAAAUUUUGUGUGCCCCAUUUAUUUAUUGGAAGACUGCAGUAAGGUCUCCACGAGGCCUUCUCCAGGCUGGAUAACCCAACUCUCAGCCUGUCUCCAUUGCGUUUGUGUGCCCUGUGAUCAUCAUUUUGGCCUCCUCUGAACCUGCUGCAACAGCUCCGUGCCCUUGUGCUGGGGACCCAGAGCUGAAUGCAGUAGUGCAGGAGGGGCCUCACAAGAGCAGAGCAGAGGGAGACAGUCAUCUCCCUCACCCUGCCAGUCUCGCUGCUUUUCAUCCAGCCCAGAAUACAGUUGGCUUUCUGGGCUGCAUGUGCACACUGCCAGCUCACGUUGAGCUCAUCAACCAACACCUCCAAGUCCUUCUCAGGGCUGCUCUCAGGCCGUUCUCCCAGCCAGUAUUUGUGUAUGGGAAUACCCCAAUACAGCUGCAGGGCCCUGCACUUGGCCUUGUUGAACUUGAUGAGGUUAGUACUGGCCCACCUCCAAAGAAUGUUCAAGGUCAUUCUGGUUGGCAUCUUCCCCUCAUGUGUUGACCUUCAGCAAUUAAUUUGUUGAAGUCAGUGGGCAGAUCAUUUUAUUCUCAAACUGAAAAUCUGUUGAGACUCUUUUAGCUUCAGGAAAUUUGCCUAGCUUCACUUGUAGCUGUAAGACCAUGUUUUGGCAUAGCAUUUACAGAGGAAGUAUCUGGUUUUCUUGUUACACACAAGUUUGUUACAUCAUUUUGUUUUUGUUUUUUUGUUGUUGUUGUUGUUGUUUGUUUUAUGUAGCUAUUUAACUUUGCUUUUAAAAUUUAAAAGCAAUUAACU